CCGGCACAAGAUGGCUUCCACUAAGGACUCAAACUCAGGCUCAGGAGCUGGUUCUUCUUCACAGUCCAGUGGUGCGAACAGCAGCUGCCAGUCUGCAGCCUGCCUGCCUCUGGGAGACUAUUUACUACAGAGAAACACCAAAAUGACCAGCAAAGUGAAGCCUGUGGAACAAAGGAACAUGUGAUGUGCAAAAGGGAGGUGAAAAAGCUUGGCUUCAGCAACUCCGCUUUUUUAUCCCUGGCAUUAAUUUGUUCUCGAGAACAACAAAUGAUUCUUAGUAAUUUAUUUUCUUUUUUCUUUUAUCUUCCUCUCAGACAUUAAUUAUAUAUUUAUAUAUAGAAUAUGCAAAAAGAGCUGAGGAAUGUUUGGGAAGGCAAAGUGAUUAAAAAUUAAACAAUGCAGAAAAUCACUCUGUUACCUAAAGGGAUGCUACAGUACAUCGCUCUAUUUUUUAUCUCUAUCUUGACUCCCUCUCUCCCUUGCCGCUUUCAUUUGUUGUUUUUUUUAUCCUUCUUUUUUUGGUUGGAGAUUUCUUUAAAGCUGGUUCUCCGCAGGCACGCAUGCUUCCAGGCCCAGAGACAGCAGCAGACUGUGUGUUCUGAAUAUGCCUGUGUUCUCUCUGUGUGCAUGUGUGUGUAGCAGCAUCCAGGCUAUUUGUCAUGGCGUAGACUGUUUGCUGGGUCAGUCCAGAUAAACUAAUGUGUCAGUGCAACGGGGCUCUGCCGCUGACCAGAGCGCC
This is a long non-coding RNA of Cottoperca gobio, 739 nucleotides long. RefSeq lists it as uncharacterized. The record is from RefSeq and is a predicted model, not a curated record. Lineage: Eukaryota; Metazoa; Chordata; Actinopteri; Perciformes; Bovichtidae. The transcript is spliced from 3 exons.